GAUGAACGCUGGCGGCGUGCCUAAUACAUGCAAGUCGAGCGAACGGACGAGAAGCUUGCUUCUCUGAUGUUAGCGGCGGACGGGUGAGUAACACGUGGAUAACCUACCUAUAAGACUGGGAUAACUUCGGGAAACCGGAGCUAAUACCGGAUAAUAUUUUGAACCGCAUGGUUCAAAAGUGAAAGACGGUCUUGCUGUCACUUCUAGAUGGAUCUGCGCUGCAUUAGCUAGUUGGUAAGGUAACGGCUUACCAAGGCAACGAUGCAUAGCCGACCUGAGAGGGUGAUCGGCCACACUGGAACUGAGACACGGUCCAGACUCCUACGGGAGGCAGCAGUAGGGAAUCUGCCGCAAUGGGCGAAAGCCUGACGGAGCGGCGCCGCGUGAGUGAUGGAGGUCUUCGGAUCGUAAAACUCUGUUAUUAGGGAAGAACAUAUGUGUAAGUAACUGUACACAUCUUGACGGUACCUAAUCAGAAAGCCACGGCUAACUACGUG
This 497-nucleotide ribosomal RNA is filed under the name uncultured bacterium. Its description in RNAcentral is "partial 16S ribosomal RNA". It matches the Rfam family "Bacterial small subunit ribosomal RNA", at positions 28 to 507 of the family's 1533-position model. The record is from RNAcentral.